Molecule: ribosomal RNA, 253 nt
Filed under: uncultured bacterium
Lineage: Bacteria
Description: partial 16S ribosomal RNA
Rfam family: Bacterial small subunit ribosomal RNA
Source: RNAcentral
UACGAAGGGGGCUAGCGUUGUUCGGAAUCACUGGGCGUAAAGGGCGCGUAGGCGGCGCGACAAGUCAGGCGUGAAAGCCCCGGGCUCAACCCGGGAAUUGCGCUUGAUACUGUCGUGCUUGAGGCCGGGAGAGGAUGGCGGAAUUCCCAGUGUAGAGGUGAAAUUCGUAGAUAUUGGGAAGAACACCGGUGGCGAAGGCGGCCAUCUGGACCGGUUCUGACGCUGAGGCGCGAAAGCGUGGGGAGCGAACAGG